CACAGAGGAGCCAAGCGUUGUCCGGAUUGACUGGGCGUAAAGCGCACGCAGGCGGUUUGGCGCGUGGGGUGUGAAAUCUGGCCGCUUAACGGCAGGCGCCAUCCCAUACGGCGCGUCUGGAGCGAUGCAGAGGUCGGUGGAAUUGCCGGUGUAGUGGUGAAAUGCGUAGAGAUCGGCAGGAACACCCAGGGGGAAACCAGCCGACUGGGCAUCUGCUGACGCUGAGGUGCGAGAGCGUGGGGAGCGAACAGG
RNAcentral lists this ribosomal RNA (252 nucleotides) under uncultured bacterium. RNAcentral's name for it is "partial 16S ribosomal RNA". It matches the Rfam family "Bacterial small subunit ribosomal RNA", at positions 524 to 776 of the family's 1533-position model. The record is from RNAcentral.